GACGAACGCUGGUGGCGUGCUUAACACAUGCAAGUCGAACGAAGUGGCGAACGGGUGAGUAACGCGUAAUCAACCUGCCCUUCAGAGGGGGACAACAGUUGGAAACGACUGCUAAUACCGCAUACUGAAGGAGGGGAUUGCGACUGAUUAGCUAGUUGGCGGGGUAACGGCCACCCAAGGCGAUUAUCAGUUGCCGGUCUGAAAGAAUGAACGGCCACAUUGGGACUGAGACACGGCCCAGACUCCUACGGGAGGAAGCAGUGGGGAAUCUUCCGCAAGUGACGAAGGUCUUACGGAGCAACGCAGCGUGAGUGAUGACGGCCUUCGGGUUGUAAAGCUCUGUUAAUCGGGACGCGGUACCGGAAUAGAAAGCCACGGCUAACUACGUGCCAGCAGCCGCAGUAAUAC
This 408-nucleotide ribosomal RNA is filed under the name uncultured bacterium. Its description in RNAcentral is "partial 16S ribosomal RNA". It matches the Rfam family "Bacterial small subunit ribosomal RNA", at positions 28 to 526 of the family's 1533-position model. The record is from RNAcentral.